AUUGAACGCUGGCGGCAUGCCUUACACAUGCAAGUCGAACGGCAGCGGACCUUCGGGUGCCGGCGAGUGGCGAACGGGUGAGUAAUAUAUCGGAACGUACCUUUCAGUGGGGGAUAACGUAGCGAAAGUUACGCUAAUACCGCAUAUUCUGUGAGCAGGAAAGCAGGGGAUCGCAAGACCUUGCGCUGAUUGAGCGGCCGAUAUCAGAUUAGCUAGUUGGUGAGGUAAAGGCUCACCAAGGCGACGAUCUGUAGCGGGUCUGAGAGGAUGAUCCGCCACACUGGAACUGAGACACGGUCCAGACUCCUACGGGAGGCAGCAGUGGGGAAUUUUGGACAAUGGGCGCAAGCCUGAUCCAGCCAUGCCGCGUGAGUGAAGAAGGCCUGGUCGUAAGCUCUUCGGCCGGGAAGAAUCGCACAGGUUAAUA
This 427-nucleotide ribosomal RNA is filed under the name uncultured bacterium. RNAcentral describes it as "bacterial SSU rRNA". It matches the Rfam family "Bacterial small subunit ribosomal RNA", at positions 30 to 464 of the family's 1533-position model. The record is from RNAcentral.